AUUGAACGCUGGCGGCAGGCCUAACACAUGCAAGUCGAACGGUAACAGGAAGCAGCUUGCUGCUUCGCUGACGAGUGGCGGCCGGGUGAGUAAUGUCUGGGAAGCUGCCUGAUGGAGGGGGAUAACUACUGGAAACGGUAGCUAAUACCGCAUAAUGUCGCAAGACCAAAGAGGGGGACCUUCGGGCCUCUUGCCAUCGGAUGUGCCCAGAUGGGAUUAGCUUGUUGGUGGGGUAACGGCUCACCAAGGCGACGAUCCCUAGCUGGUCUGAGAGGAUGACCAGCCACACUGGAACUGAGACACGGUCCAGACUCCUACGGGAGGCAGCAGUGGGGAAUAUUGCACAAUGGGCGCAAGCCUGAUGCAGCCAUGCCGCGUGUAUGAAGAAGGCCUUCGGGUUGUAAAGUACUUUCAGCGGGGAGGAAGGGAGUAAAGUUAAUACCUUUGCUCAUUGACGUUACCCGCAGAAGAAGCACCGGCUAACUCCGUG
This 490-nucleotide ribosomal RNA is filed under the name uncultured bacterium. RNAcentral describes it as "partial 16S ribosomal RNA". It matches the Rfam family "Bacterial small subunit ribosomal RNA", at positions 30 to 507 of the family's 1533-position model. The record is from RNAcentral.